RNAcentral lists this ribosomal RNA (253 nucleotides) under uncultured bacterium. RNAcentral describes it as "partial 16S ribosomal RNA". It matches the Rfam family "Bacterial small subunit ribosomal RNA", at positions 524 to 776 of the family's 1533-position model. The record is from RNAcentral.
UACGGAGGGGGCUAGCGUUGUUCGGAAUUACUGGGCGUAAAGCGCACGUAGGCGGCGAUUUAAGUCAGAGGUGAAAGCCCGGGGCUCAACCCCGGAAUAGCCUUUGAGACUGGAUUGCUAGAAUCUUGGAGAGGCGAGUGGAAUUCCGAGUGUAGAGGUGAAAUUCGUAGAUAUUCGGAGGAACACCAGUGGCGAAGGCGGCUCACUGGUCCGGUACUGACGCUGAGGUGCGAAAGCGUGGGGAGCAAACAGG